RNAcentral lists this ribosomal RNA (443 nucleotides) under uncultured bacterium. Its description in RNAcentral is "bacterial SSU rRNA". It matches the Rfam family "Bacterial small subunit ribosomal RNA", at positions 338 to 793 of the family's 1533-position model. The record is from RNAcentral.
CCUACGGGAGGCAGCAGUGGGGAAUAUUGCACAAUGGGCGCAAGCCUGAUGCAGCGACGCCGCGUGAGGGAUGACGGCCUUCGGGUUGUAAACCUCUUUCAGUAGGGAAGAAGCGAAAGUGACGGUACCUGCAGAAGAAGCACCGGCUAACUACGUGCCAGCAGCCGCGGUAAUACGUAGGGUGCGAGCGUUAUCCGGAAUUAUUGGGCGUAAAGAGCUCGUAGGCGGUUUGUCGCGUCUGUCGUGAAAGUCCGGGGCUUAACCCCGGAUCUGCGGUGGGUACGGGCAGACUAGAGUGCAGUAGGGGAGACUGGAAUUCCUGGUGUAGCGGUGGAAUGCGCAGAUAUCAGGAGGAACACCGAUGGCGAAGGCAGGUCUCUGGGCUGUAACUGACGCUGAGGAGCGAAAGCAUGGGGAGCGAACAGGAUUAGAUACCCUGGUAG